This 885-nucleotide long non-coding RNA is filed under the name Ursus maritimus (polar bear). RNAcentral describes it as "lncRNA (ENSUMAG00000006642.1)". Lineage: Eukaryota; Metazoa; Chordata; Mammalia; Carnivora; Ursidae. The record is from RNAcentral.
GUUUUUCAAAAGGAGAACCACUGCACCCAGACCCAGUAGCCAGGUUGUGAUUCCGCUUCUAUUCUUCGGACUUCAGUGCUGCGGUUUCCCUUGUGUGAUACUAUUCAGAGAUCUGCUCCCCUCCCCCUAACACGCACAUAACACACACACACACACACACACACACACACACACACUGCCAGGAAUUGUUUUGGGUUCCUGAAGGGGGACAGAGUGAUAUGCUCACAGGUAAAUACAUCUCAAAAUGCUAAUGUGCAUUUGAAUAUCCAUUUGUUUAUCUAUUUUAAAAACAGGGGGAAGUCAAGGUAAACCAGGCAAAAUGUAUAAAUUUGAAAAGAUAUUCAGAUAUCCAUGGAAAAGAAUUGCUCAGAAGAACAAAGGAUAGUAUAACAUUAAAUGAGUCACGGUGUUCUCCCAGAGAGUAAAACUGUAUUCUCGUCAGUUAUUGUUUAAUUCUUCGAACAUUUGACAUAAGGGUCUAUUGAUUACUGGGGCGGGGAGAGCUGGUCCCGGGCUCACGGGUUGUGGGAGCUCCUGUGUGGGCCUAGGUAUAUUUUUGUUACACUUUAUCCCACCUGUGCCUGUCAGUUCCUUUCCACUUGCCUCCUCCCGUGACAGUCUGGCUCAUGUUUCUUCAUAAAGCUCUAAGCCAGUUAUUAAUAACAGCCCAGCGAGUCUCCGGAUCCACCUAAGAGCAUGUGGUGUUUUUCACAAAAGAGAAGAGAGAUCAUCUCCUUGACUUGGGACUUUGCUUGCGGAGCCCUGAACAGAGGACCUGCUCCGUCCUUGGGAGCUCAGCUGAAACCAGACGAUCCAGUCGUUCUCCAGGACCAGCGUAGCUUCCUGCUAAGGGGACCGAGGUUGCUAAGAGUCCACCUGUGCUGA